Long non-coding RNA from Numida meleagris (helmeted guineafowl), 3084 nucleotides. RefSeq lists it as uncharacterized. The record is from RefSeq and is a predicted model, not a curated record. The transcript has 2 exons. NCBI's taxonomy places the organism in Eukaryota, Metazoa, Chordata, Aves, Galliformes, Numididae.
CAUCUCCAUCACUGUGCUCAUUCUGGAAAAAAAAAAAAAAGAACAAUCUCAGGCACUUAGGCAAAAAAAAAAAAACAAAAAAACCAAAGAAAACAAAAAGCAUUCUGAGUUUGUGCUUGUCCUUCCUCCCCUUUGAUUGCCCAAGCUACUAUAGACUGAAAUAAUUUCUAUACAGAAAAAAUUAUUAGAAAAACUGAGUCAAAAGACUUAUCAAAUACUACAGAUCAAGGAAAAUCUUAAGAGAUCAAUGGAAUAGUGUCCAUCCUGCUGAUCCAACCUAUUUUGGAAAUAGUAACAGAAAAAAAACCUCAAAUGAAGAUGUUCAAAAAGGGUCCAUCUCCCUCAAGGGAGAACACUUAAGGGCUUCAUUUUUAAAAGUCCAAACUUCAAAAUGGAUUAGCCCAACUCCCCCCAAAAUAAAGCAGGUAAACAACCUCCCAUACUGGUCAUUUUCUUAAGAUGCCAAAUAAACAUCUUUGUAUGAAAUACAUUUUACUGGAACUGCACAUGCACUAUUUUCUGAAUGAAGCUCAAGAGAGCUUGUGCUCUUUCACCAUUUGAAAACAUGUCAAGAUCAGAAAUCUAUUAAAAAAAGACAAAGCUUUAGUCAGACCAUUUUGAGUAUUACUAACAAGCUCUAUGUCUUGACUUGUAAUAAUAUAAGAACAGUUUCAAUACUUCUGUCUCUUAAGCUCACAGCCCCCAUGCCUACUCAGAUAUCUAUAUGUAAAUACACCAACCUUCUUAAAACCAUAGUGGGACACAAUCUUUUGUUUUCUAUCCAGCAACAACAGUCAUAUAUGGAAAAAUCUAUCACAAGACACCCAACUACAGCACUGCAGACAACAGAAUGUUGUUUUAUCUUCACAACACCUAAGUUCUCCAUUUGCCCAAGAAAACAAAGUUAGACUGUUGAAUUGUCAUUCCUUAAUUCAGCAUGCCUACACGGUCACUGUCACCACAACCCUGUUUUCAGCCAGAAAGGAUACCAGAAAAGGAACCGCUCUUCUACAUGCUUCUCUGCUUCACAGAGAGACUUCCUAGGGUGAUUCUAUCUUCUCAGUUGCAGAUUCCUUCCAUUAGCAUCUCUGCAAACUGAGUAUCUCUUGGAAUAGCAGAUAAUUACAGAUCUCUGUGUCCUAGAGCUUCCAAAUCUUGCUAGAAGUUUAUUUUCAUUGGAAGAACAGAUUUUCUAUUUGUCAUUUUCUAUGGUCGUUCUACUCUCACGUUCAGAGCUAUAUACAAUAACACAGGUAUAUCUAUCCUAUAACAAACAACAUUAUUAAUCUUUCUAACAUAUGGAUAAGAAGGAAUUUUAAAUAAAACAAAACUUCAAUCGCUCUUAGGAAUUACUCUUGACAGAUUUAUUUAAACUGAUAAAUAACAACAAUCCUUAAGAUUUUGGAUCUUAUGCAUUUAUUCCCUUGGCUAGCACUUGAUAGAACUGUAAAUUCUAUAUGACUGAAAUAUAACUAACAGAAAGUUGCCAUACAAUGGGAAAAAAAAAAGAAUUCAGGACCGUGUAAUUUUACAACCAGCACUUCAAAUACAACUUCGCUAUUUGCAUGUUCCUUAAUGCUGUGGUAACACGAGCACUUUUCUCUCUGCUGCUUGCCAUGUCCCUACAGGGAUGGCAGCCUUCUCAAUCAUGCUGCUGGUACCGUUCUGCAGCUCUCCUUUCUCCUCACAGACAGGAAAUGUGCUUCAGUUAAGAAACUGAAAUGGGAGUUUUAAAUGAAAAGAUUAAAUAUCAGCUGAUUUGAGGGCACACAACUGAGGAAGACCAUACGCCCAAAUCGCUAUUUGUUACAGGAUUUUCCGUUCUUCAGAAUAUUCAUUUGACUGCCCUCUCCUGCCAAGCUUGUCACAUAACAAAGAACACAUAUAUGGUGUAUUUUCUCUCACCAUACUGCCUAAGAUGCUUCAGCUGCUUGAAACAGUAUUAUAGACUGGAUCAUUGCGAAGCACUGAAAUGCAGGUGUACAUUUAAGUUGAUGUGUUUUGUCUGUUUUCUCCUGACUUCGGAUGGCUGAUAUCAAACAGGUACUGACAAUUACAUCAGCUCUAAUAAAAGAUUUUGUUAACCACCACCAUGGAAAACAAAUGUAAUAGUACUGUUUAAACUAUGAGGCUCGUCACCUUCUAUGCUGUAAGACUAAGUAGUCUUUAGUAACCACUAAAUAGAACUGAAAAAGCGACUCGAAUCCAUAGUGACUCUACCACUCAAUAUUUCUAAGAGUGAAAGCGUGGCUGCAGAUUAUACAGCCACCUAUUCUGAAUUCAUUACUAAGCUACAAAGAACUUCCUACGCAAAACACUUGGUAAGUCACUCCAAUUAUACAGCAGCAUUACUAAAGCACUUUACAACAUACUGCAUCUCUUAUCUGUUACUGCAAACUGGCAGUCACACUUGAGAAGGGAGAUGCCUGGGGAAGGAGAACAUCCAUGCAUCUUAAUUAGCUCCCACUGUGACUACACUGUGCUCUGCACAACAAACCCCGGUGAUAAUUACAGCUUCCGAACUCCUCUGUGAUACCGUCAGCUACAGCAGAAUGGUUUAAGAGACAGCUCAGGAAAAAGCAGGUAAUACAUGCAACCCUACAGAGGCUGGGCAAACAGGCAUCCCCUACUCAGGUCCCAAAUCAGGAAAGCACAACCAAAGCCGACCCAAAGAGCACCAUCUGUCAGCCGAGGUAAGCCCUGCAAGGACAUGACACGUACUGCCUCAGACUCAGCACUAUGUCACAGUGACUGAGCAGCUUCUAAAGCAGAGCUGAGACAGCUGACUUGCUCAGAACCCAGGCAGAACUUGCAGGCCUUGUCCGCAGCCAUCAGUAGGAAGAUUCAACAGCUAUCACGGAACAAAGCCCUUACAAUGCUGGAGGUACAUGCAGAAAACCAAUUAGCAAUGAUAACAGGUCACAGUGAAGAUGUAAAUGGUCAAAUCCUUGUUUCCUUAGGGCAGAUUUUCAAUUAUUUGAUGACAAUAAGCAAAAUUAAAAUCCAACAGGAACACAGAAGAGUAAGAACAACUGAUCAAGUUUUCAAACACUGAAGAUAAAGCUUAAUAUAACUGCAGCAGCA